This 254-nucleotide ribosomal RNA is filed under the name uncultured bacterium. Its description in RNAcentral is "partial 16S ribosomal RNA". It matches the Rfam family "Bacterial small subunit ribosomal RNA", at positions 524 to 776 of the family's 1533-position model. The record is from RNAcentral.
GACGUAGGGCGCGAGCGUUGUCCGGAUUUAUUGGGCGUAAAGAGCUCGUAGGCGGCUUGUCGCGUCGACUGUGAAAACCCGUGGCUCAAUCAUGUGGUCUGCAGUCGAUACGGGCAGGCUAGAAUUCGGUAGGGGAGACUGGAAUUCCUGGUGUAGCGGUGAAAUGCGCAGAUAUCAGGAGGAACACCGGUGGCGAAGGCGGGUCUCUGGGCCGAUAUUGACGCUGAGGAGCGAAAGCGUGGGGAGCGAACAGG